Molecule: ribosomal RNA, 468 nt
Filed under: uncultured bacterium
Lineage: Bacteria
Description: partial 16S ribosomal RNA
Rfam family: Bacterial small subunit ribosomal RNA
Source: RNAcentral
GAUGAACGCUGGCGGCGUGCUUAACACAUGCAAGUCGAACGGUGAAGGCGGAGCUUGCUCUGCUGGAUCAGUGGCGAACGGGUGAGUAACACGUGAGCAAUCUGCCCCUGACUCUGGGAUAAGCGCUGGAAACGGCGUCUAAUACUGGAUACGAGCUGCGAAGGCAUCUUCAGCAGCUGGAAAGAAUUUCGGUCAGGGAUGAGCUCGCGGCCUAUCAGCUUGUUGGUGAGGUAAUGGCUCACCAAGGCGUCGACGGGUAGCCGGCCUGAGAGGGUGACCGGCCACACUGGGACUGAGACACGGCCCAGACUCCUACGGGAGGCAGCAGUGGGGAAUAUUGCACAAUGGGCGAAAGCCUGAUGCAGCAACGCCGCGUGAGGGACGACGGCCUUCGGGUUGUAAACCUCUUUUAGCAGGGAAGAAGCGAAAGUGACGGUGCCUGCAGAAAAAGCGCCGGCUAACUACGUG